UCCUACUCCUAUACAUGUACAUUGAGCAUUGUUUUGUGGAUAUCUCCAGCAUGCAUUUUGUUGACAUGCACAGGUACUGUUCAUGUUCCAUUUUGUUCCUUGUCUAGGUAAAAUUUCAUUACUGAAAGGUAUUUUUACGGAGAAAAAUGCAACUGCCACAUGGCGUGUUCAGCGGUGAUUUGAACCCCCAAACACA
Molecule: long non-coding RNA, 196 nt
Organism: Strongylocentrotus purpuratus (purple sea urchin)
Lineage: Eukaryota; Metazoa; Echinodermata; Echinoidea; Camarodonta; Strongylocentrotidae
Exons: 2
Source: RefSeq, a predicted model, not a curated record